RNAcentral lists this ribosomal RNA (315 nucleotides) under Palpitomonas bilix. RNAcentral's name for it is "partial Bacterial large subunit ribosomal RNA". It matches the Rfam family "Bacterial large subunit ribosomal RNA", at positions 188 to 558 of the family's 2925-position model. The record is from RNAcentral.
GGGAACUGAAACAUCUAAGUACCCGGAGGAAAGGAAAUCAAUAGAUACUCCCUUAGUAGCGGCGAGCGAACGGGGACCAGCCGAGCUGUGAAUGUGACUAGAAUCCGUUGGAAAGCGGAGCAAUAUGGGUGACAGCCCCGUAUAGGAAGCAUGAUCAGACGUAUUAAGUAGGGCGGAACACGUGAAAUUCUGUCUGAACAUCGGAGGACCACCUUCGAAGGCUAAGUACUCCUUACUGACCGAUAGCGAACCAGUACCGUGAGGGAAAGGUGAAAAGCACCCCGACGAGGGGAGUGAAACAGUACCUGAAACCGA